UACGGGGGGGGCAAGCGUUGUUCGGAAUUACUGGGCGUAAAGGGCUCGUAGGUGGCCAACUAAGUCAGACGUGAAAUCCCUCGGCUUAACCGGGGAACUGCGUCUGAUACUGGAUGGCUUGAGUUUGGGAGAGGGAUGCGGAAUUCCAGGUGUAGCGGUGAAAUGCGUAGAUAUCUGGAGGAACACCGGUGGCGAAGGCGGCAUCCUGGACCGGCAUUGACGCUGAGGCGCGAAAGCCAGGGGAGCAAACAGG
This 253-nucleotide ribosomal RNA is filed under the name uncultured bacterium. RNAcentral describes it as "partial 16S ribosomal RNA". It matches the Rfam family "Bacterial small subunit ribosomal RNA", at positions 524 to 776 of the family's 1533-position model. The record is from RNAcentral.